RNAcentral lists this ribosomal RNA (329 nucleotides) under uncultured eukaryote. RNAcentral's name for it is "partial 18S ribosomal RNA". It matches the Rfam family "Eukaryotic small subunit ribosomal RNA", at positions 1470 to 1796 of the family's 1831-position model. The record is from RNAcentral.
CCCUUAGAUGUUCUGGGCCGCACGCGCGCUACACUGAUUCAUGCAACAAGUUUUGUCCUUGGCUGAUAGGCCUGGGUAAUCUUUGAACGUGAAUCGUGAUGGGGAUAGAUGAUUGCAAUUAUUCAUCUUCAACGAGGAAUUCCUAGUAAACGCAAGUCAUCAGCUUGCAUUGAUUACGUCCCUGCCCUUUGUACACACCGCCCGUCGCACCUACCGAUUGAAUGGUCCGGUGAAAAUUUCGGAUAGUGGCGAUGCUGGCGGUUCGCCGCCGGCGCUGCCGCUAGAAGAUCUUUAAACCUUAUCAUUUAGAGGAAGGAGAAGUCGUAACA